Long non-coding RNA from Scomber japonicus (chub mackerel), 385 nucleotides. RefSeq lists it as uncharacterized. The record is from RefSeq and is a predicted model, not a curated record. Lineage: Eukaryota; Metazoa; Chordata; Actinopteri; Scombriformes; Scombridae. The transcript is spliced from 5 exons.
GAUCCAGACUAUGUCAGACCAAUCCAGUCUGAGAGCACCAAUCAGGACUCUGCCACACAUCACAUGGUCAACCUGAAUGAAACUCAAGAUCACAUCUACAAUUCUCUUCUCCACGGUGAUACUUGUCUCUAUGAAUCAAUCAAAGGCUCCGAAGACCCAAAAUAGAAAAUCAGCUCCUGCAGCAACUGAUGAAGCUGUUUAUUCUGAAGUUAAACCAGGAACAGCUCAUGGUGUGUAAAGACAGCUGUGUGGACAAGGCCAAAUAAAUAUGGUUAACAGCAUUUUAUAACCAUUGUGUGCAUCUCUGCUAUCCAAAUAUCAGCCAUGCUCAAUGCUUCGUACAGUUAAUAUAAUAAGAUUAUAUGAAAUAAAUACAUCAUGUGGA